This is a long non-coding RNA of Erpetoichthys calabaricus (reedfish), 1412 nucleotides long. RefSeq lists it as uncharacterized. The transcript has 3 exons. NCBI's taxonomy places the organism in Eukaryota, Metazoa, Chordata, Cladistia, Polypteriformes, Polypteridae. The record is from RefSeq and is a predicted model, not a curated record.
AUUGGCCGUCGAGCUUCAUCACGUGGUGUCAAUAGGAGGGAAGAAACACCCAUUUCGCUUUCUUUCAUUUCGUUUAUUUAUUUAUUUAUUUAAAACAAGGGAAAUUUUCUAUUUUAGAUUACUACAGCAUUUCCUCUCCACGCUUCGGUUAAUUGGAGCUGUCGUUCAACGCCUGCAGUUCCCCUGCAGCGCAAACGGACAGCAACGCGACGUCUUUGUACCGAUGGUUAGCGAAGGGGCGGGGAGCUCCCACGAGACGGUGUUGGCAUCAGACAAUACGCCUAAUUGUUGCCGUGAUUCUUCACCCGCUUACCGCUGGCCAAAUCUGCUAUCAGCUUUAAUGUGUAGCACAUUUGAAAGACCGCGGCGACGUGCCGAGGCUCUCCUCCAUACGUGGAGCCCACAGACGAAGAAGCUCGGGGCAGCUGUCAGUUUCCAACACAAUUGUGCAUGGGCAGUGUGCCGUGGACAGCUAUAGGUACAUGGUGGCUGCCUGGCAACGCGAUGAAUGAUACACAGGGUAGUAGAAAGAGGCGCUGAUUUUGGCAAUAAUGCUCCGGCCCUCCAAGACAUUUGCUCAUGACCAAGUUAAAGCAUCAGCACCCGUGUCGGCUCAAGUGGGGGCGGGUAGGAUAUUUAGAGAAACGGACAUGUUGUGAGCUGCGCAUGCGCAGGAUAGAUCUGCUCGCUGCCGAAGAUGCUGAACACGCAGAAUAGAAGACUGACUCCACCGCUAACAUCAUUUCCAUUUUCCGCCCUCCUGGACCCACCCUUUUCUGCCGAGUCACCAUAUAAUCCCGUAACCAGCCAUUUCACUCCAAUUCUGAGUUCCCAUCUGAAAAGAUAAACCCCAAAACAUGUUGUGUUCUAUAUUAUUGUGAACUUUUUCAGUUAUAUGGGAUCACCAAGGUAGUGCCCCAACUCUUUUAACAUCAUCGUUGUGUCUCCUCUUUUAUAAAGGAUAUCGUCAAAAUGAUUUGUAAGUAGAUUAGUAAUUCUCAGUCCUUCACUUUUUAUAUUUAAUAUCCUUCCAAAUAUCUUUUAGCUGGAUAGUUCAUGAUGAAUACACACAGAUGUAAGUGAAAACAAACCAGAUUUGUCAUUUGCAUCUUAUUGCUAAUAAGCAGCCAUUAAAACAGUGAAUGCAGCUGAUUAGGACUAAAAUGAACAAAUAAGGGUGGGCAAUCUUAACACGCGAGACAACUCAAAUAAAGCAUUACAUUGCUUGAGCAAUAAGACCUUUAACAGCAGUAAUUGACUUCUCUUUAACAAAACUAGGUUGGAACCAAAACUUGCAACCACUAUGGUCCUCCAGGACUGACGUUGCCCACCCCUGCACUAAAACCCCACCAUAGUAUAUUUCUCUCAGUAGUUCUUGACAUAGUUCAGCUGAAAUCUCCUUUUCUGCUUAU